CGGCUCCACCUCCACCUCCACCUCCACCUCCGCCUCCUCCACAACUGCUCCUCGUCAUCAGGCCAUGAAUUCUGCACUGGUUUCUCUAGAUACCAAUCAAGCCUUUCCUUGAAAGCAUGGACUCGCUCCAGGUUUUCUCAUGAACAUUUCCAUUUCUGCAAAUUUACCAUCCCAAAACAGUUUCAGAAGCCCCAAAAGUCUAGGUUCAGUUGCUAGGUCUAUGUUUGGUGAAAUUGAUGCUAAAAAUGGUACAAUAUGGCGCUCAAAUGGUAACGUGCAGCUUUCCCUUGAUGAAAUACCCAAUAAUCUGGCGGAAGAAGAACUUCCAUUCAAGGAAGGUAGCUCUGGUUCAGAGUUUCCAUGGCGUGAGCAGAACUAUUUGCAAGACCCACCUUGCAAAGACUCUUAUCUCAAUGGUGCCAUACCAACUUCUCCCGUUAAUAUGCCGCAUCGCCUCAAAACAGUACCUAAAAACCAGUUUGAAAUGAACCUUCCUAAGAAAGAUUGGGCAUCAUAAUGAAGUUAAAAUGCCUACUGCUCCAUGGAUGAGAGGCCCACUUCUAUUGCCUGCUGAUGAUGUGUUGGAUUUAUCCAAAAGUAGAAAAAAGUCAGGUAAUGAAAAGAAUUCAGAUGAUAAAGCUCUUACAGGAGGAGUUUGGAGGAGGGAGGACAAAGCAUGCGAUGAGUUUAAUUAUAGAAAGAAAACAUCACAAAACUGAAGGAGAUUUAUGAAGAAAAUGAGCAAAAUAAAGAAACCCACAUGGUUUUAUCAGAUGAAGUGGCCAUUCCAAGCAAAAUUAAUUCUAGUUUUAGUGAGGGGGCCACAAAUUCAUUAGUGGCAGGUUUAAUUUACCAUUGAAGUAUCUGUUAGUGAAGACCAAGCUAUGGAAACCAUAUUGCCAUGGCCAAUGGCUGAAAACAUUGUUUCUCGAAGAUUGAAGAAGGAAAAGACUCCAAUUCUGUGUUGUUGUAGAGCAUAUUCAAGAGUUCAAGUAGUAAAAUUUUAUUUAGGUUUA
This is a long non-coding RNA of Amborella trichopoda, 1016 nucleotides long. RefSeq lists it as uncharacterized. NCBI's taxonomy places the organism in Eukaryota, Viridiplantae, Streptophyta, Magnoliopsida, Amborellales, Amborellaceae. The record is from RefSeq and is a predicted model, not a curated record.